Molecule: ribosomal RNA, 1052 nt
Filed under: uncultured archaeon
Lineage: Archaea
Description: bacterial SSU rRNA
Rfam family: Archaeal small subunit ribosomal RNA
Source: RNAcentral
UUCUGGUUGUUCCUGGGGGGGGCUACUGCUAUUGGGAUUCGAUUAAGCCAUGCAAGUCGAACGAGUUUAGACUCGUGGCGUACGGCUCAGUAACACGUGGAUAACCUACCCUUAGGACUGGGAUAACCCUGGGAAACUGGGGAUAAUACUGGAUAGGCAAUUAUUUCUGUAAUGGUUUUUUGUUUAAAUGUUUUUUUCGCCUAAGGAUGGUUCUGCGGCCGAUUAGGUAGUUGGUUAGGUAAUGGCUUACCAGGCCUUUGAUCGGUACGGGUUGUGAGAGCAAGAGCCCGGAGAUGGAACCUGAGACAAGUUUCCAGGCCCUACGGGGUGCAGCAGGCGCGAAACCUCCGCAAUGUGAGAAAUCGCGACGGGGGGAUCCCAAGUGCCAUUCUUAACGGGAUGGCUUUUCAUUAGUGUAAAGAGCUUUUGGAAUAAGAGCUGGGCAAGACCGGUGCCAGCCGCCGCGGUAACACCGGCAGCUCUAGUGGUAGCAGUUUUUAUUGGGCCUAAAGCGUCCGUAGCCGGUUUAAUAAGUCUCUGGUGAAAUCCUGCAGCUUAACUGUGGGAAUUGCUGGAGAUACUAUUAGACUUGAGAUCGGGAGAGGUUAGAGGUACUCCCAGGGUAGAGGUGAAAUUCUGUAAUCCUGGGAGGACCGCCUGUUGCGAAGGCGUCUGACUGGAACGAUUCUGACGGUGAGGGACGAAAGCUAGGGGCGCGAACCGGAUUAGAUACCCGGGUAGUCCUAGCUGUAAACGAUGCGGACUUGGUGUUGGGGNUGGCUUUUGAGCUGUCCCAGUGCCGAAGGGAAGCUGUUAAGUCCGCCGCCUGGGAAGUACGGUCGCAAGACUGAAACUUAAAGGAAUUGGCCGGGGAGCACCACAACGCGUGGAGCCUGCGGUUUAAUUGGAUUCACCGCCGGACAUCUCACCCAGAGGCGACAGGGUUUUGAUAGCCAGGUUGAUGACUUUGCUUGACUUGCUUAGAGGAGGUGCAUGGCCGCCGUCAGCUCGUUAACCGUGGGGGGUCCUGUUAAGUCCGGCAACGAGCGAGA